RNAcentral lists this ribosomal RNA (253 nucleotides) under uncultured bacterium. Its description in RNAcentral is "partial 16S ribosomal RNA". It matches the Rfam family "Bacterial small subunit ribosomal RNA", at positions 524 to 776 of the family's 1533-position model. The record is from RNAcentral.
UACGUAGGUGGCAAGCGUUAUCCGGAUUUACUGGGUGUAAAGGGCGAGUAGGCGGGAUUGCAAGUCAGAUGUGAAAACUAUGGGCUCAACCGAUAGAGUGCAUUUGAAACUGCAGUUCUUGAGUGAUGGAGAGGCAGGCGGAAUUCCCGGUGUAGCGGUGGAAUGCGUAGAUAUCGGGAGGAACACCAGUGGCGAAGGCGGCCUGCUGGACAUUAACUGACGCUGAGGCGCGAAAGCGUGGGGAGCAAACAGG